UAAUACAUGCAAGUCGAGCGGAUCUUCAUUAGCUUGCUUUUGAAGAUCAGCGGCGGACGGGUGAGUAACACGUGGGCAACCUGCCUGUAAGACUGGGAUAACUUCGGGAAACCGGAGCUAAUACCGGAUAAUCCUUUUCCUCUCAUGAGGAAAAGCUGAAAGACGGUUUCGGCUGUCACUUACAGAUGGGCCCGCGGCGCAUUAGCUAGUUGGUGAGGUAACGGCUCACCAAGGCAACGAUGCGUAGCCGACCUGAGAGGGUGAUCGGCCACACUGGGACUGAGACACGGCCCAGACUCCUACGGGAGGCAGCAGUAGGGAAUCUUCCGCAAUGGACGAAAGUCUGACGGAGCAACGCCGCGUGAGCGAUGAAGGCCUUCGGGUCGUAAAGCUCUGUUGUCAGGGAAGAACAAGUAUCGGAGUAACUGCCGGUACCUUGACGGUACCUGACCAGAAAGCCACGGCUAACUACGUGCCAGCAGCCGCGGUAAUACGUAGGUGGCAAGCGUUGUCCGGAAUUAUUGGGCGUAAAGCGCGCGCAGGCGGUUCCUUAAGUCUGAUGUGAAAGCCCCCGGCUCAACCGGGGAGGGUCAUUGGAAACUGGGGAACUUGAGUGCAGAAGAGGAGAGCGGAAUUCCACGUGUAGCGGUGAAAUGCGUAGAGAUGUGGAGGAACACCAGUGGCGAAGGCGGCUCUCUGGUCUGUAACUGACGCUGAGGCGCGAAAGCGUGGGGAGCGAACAGGAUUAGAUACCCUGGUAGUCCACGCCGUAAACGAUGAGUGC
RNAcentral lists this ribosomal RNA (784 nucleotides) under Bacillus sp. LKS-112. RNAcentral's name for it is "bacterial SSU rRNA". It matches the Rfam family "Bacterial small subunit ribosomal RNA", at positions 49 to 816 of the family's 1533-position model. Lineage: Bacteria; Bacillati; Bacillota; Bacilli; Caryophanales; Bacillaceae. The record is from RNAcentral.